This 281-nucleotide ribosomal RNA is filed under the name Phocaeicola dorei DSM 17855. RNAcentral describes it as "partial 16S ribosomal RNA". It matches the Rfam family "Bacterial small subunit ribosomal RNA", at positions 496 to 776 of the family's 1533-position model. The record is from RNAcentral. Lineage: Bacteria; Pseudomonadati; Bacteroidota; Bacteroidia; Bacteroidales; Bacteroidaceae.
UAGGUUUGUGUGCCAGCAGCCGCGGUAAUACGGAGGAUCCGAGCGUUAUCCGGAUUUAUUGGGUUUAAAGGGAGCGUAGAUGGAUGUUUAAGUCAGUUGUGAAAGUUUGCGGCUCAACCGUAAAAUUGCAGUUGAUACUGGAUGUCUUGAGUGCAGUUGAGGCAGGCGGAAUUCGUGGUGUAGCGGUGAAAUGCUUAGAUAUCACGAAGAACUCCGAUUGCGAAGGCAGCCUGCUAAGCUGCAACUGACAUUGAGGCUCGAAAGUGUGGGUAUCAAACAGG